RNAcentral lists this ribosomal RNA (555 nucleotides) under Basilometra boschmai. RNAcentral's name for it is "partial large subunit ribosomal RNA". It matches the Rfam family "Bacterial large subunit ribosomal RNA", at positions 1815 to 2604 of the family's 2925-position model. The record is from RNAcentral. Lineage: Eukaryota; Metazoa; Echinodermata; Crinoidea; Comatulida; Pontiometridae.
AUCGCUCCUUGAAAAAUAUUAAUAAGGAGUACUGCCUGCCCAGUGACAAAAGUUAAACGGCCGCGGUAUUUUGACCGUGCAAAGGUAGCAUAAUCAUUUGUUCUUUAAUUGAGGACUAGAAUGAAAGGCAACACGAAAGCUUAUCUGUCUCCUUUUUAAAAAAAGAAAUUAGUAUUUUUGUGAAGAAACAAAAAUAAAAAUGUAAGACGAGAAGACCCUGUCGAGCUUAAGAAAAUUUUUAUAAAAAAUUAACUAUAAUAAAAUCAAAUUUAUUCUAUAAAACUAUUAAUAAAAAUAUCUUUGGUUGGGGCAACCACGAAGAAAAAAAAACCUUCGUCUAAAAUAAGAAAUUUACAAAUUUAAAAAUUUUUAAAAUAAUUAAAGAUCCAGAAAAUUCUGAUCAAAGAAAAAAGUUACCGCAGGGAUAACAGCGUUAUUCUCUUUAAGAGCUCUUAUUGACAAGAGAGUUUGCGACCUCGAUGUUGGACCGGGGCACCCAAGAGGUGUAGAAGCCCCUAAAGGUGGGUCUGUUCGACCUUUAAAGCCCUACGUGAU